CACCUGUUAAAGGCCUCUUAUGGAUUUUUCCCAAAGCAUUUUCACUCUUCAAUCACGGCCCUACUUCAUCAAGAGGCUUCAGCGGGCGAGCGGUCGGUAAUUACACACGCCGCUUCCACACGCUGAUUUCCCCGGAGGUAGGACGGGUGCGCUGGUGGCAUCGGCGCUUUCGACGGAUGAAGUGAACCUCUGCCCACCUGCUGAGGGUUCCAGCCUCUCAGAGGUCGUCUUCAGCGAGCUCCACGGCGAUCAAAUUCAUCGGAAUUUGAUUGACAAUCAGAUGCAGGUCAAAGGAUUAGCAGCCGUGCGUGACUGAUGGGGAGGAGAUACGCCAUCAGAAUAUGUUAAAAGCCUCAACCUCUUCGUCUUCCUCCUCGUCGUCUUCUCCCUGAAGUGGCCAGGAAGUCAUUGAUGACUACAUUUUCUUUGACAUUUACAAGGUGACGGGGAGGGUCUCUGAUAUAAGUCGUAAACCUCUCAGCCGUUGCACUGAGACGUGAUGGAUGGCGUUGGGCGUGAAGAGCAGUGAUGGCCGUGGCGUUGGAGGCCUUGGCGGCCUUGGCGUGGGUGUCCCACCAGGGUUCAGAGGUUCAACUCUGCCCUUCUGUGGUGCUUGUCUCAGCUUUCAACAAAGGCGCAACUCCCACCCGACUCUCUUCAACGCAACACAGGUGCACUAAUGGACCACUGGGGGCAAUACUGUACUGACAAGACACUUCAUUAGGUACACCUAUUGCGUGUACACUGUUCAUCCAUCCAUCCAUCUACAGUAUUCACUUUACCCGGCUGUGAAAAGAUCAUUAUAAUUGACACUGUUAGUGUUGUGGUACUGGUAAACACCAACAUUUUCAUGACAGUCAGAGUUUUAAUUAAAUUUGUACAUAAUUAGAAAUAUAGUAUUAUAAUGACUGUCACGACAACUGAUGGGUAAUACUAAGAACUGUCUCUUAAUAUUUUAAAGGCCUUGUUUAAAUGUAAGGGGGUCAACAUAGCAUUAUUAUUAUUAUUAUUAUUAUUAUUGUUUAUUUUCUUUGUGAAGGAAGGCAUUUAAAUAUUUAUGAAAUUUUACAUUUAUGUAAACAGAUAUGGGAUAUUUGCAACAUAUUUCUUACAUGAUUUAUAAUUACAUUUAAUUUUAUUAAUUUCAUAU
Long non-coding RNA from Phyllopteryx taeniolatus (common seadragon), 1150 nucleotides. RefSeq lists it as uncharacterized. The record is from RefSeq and is a predicted model, not a curated record. NCBI's taxonomy places the organism in Eukaryota, Metazoa, Chordata, Actinopteri, Syngnathiformes, Syngnathidae. The transcript has 4 exons.